UGCAAAUUCAGAUCAUGAAAGAUUAUUUUUUGAGAUUUUCAAUAGCAUUUUCUUUAAUAAAAAACAUUUUAAAAGCAUUUUUUCUCUCAAAUUUGUAAUCCAGAUACAAGGUAUGAACAUGAGGCUGAAAGGUGCAUUUUUCUGUUUUCAUAGUUCUAAAAUUAACAUGGAAAUAAACAUUUCUUUCAUAAAAACAUUCACAUAACAGGCCAAACUAACAUUUUGAAAAGCCUAUUCAGAUGGCUGGAAAGGCUAAACCUCAAAGACACGCAUUUUAACAUGUAAUUAUGCAUAUAUGAAAAUCAAGGCUAGAUUUAUGACAAUUGUUAGCCAGAAUAUUGAUGAAUAACCGCUGUUUUGCAAAGAAAGAUGAUUUUACUUCAGGUGGUACCCAACACCUUGACUUAAAUUAAUUUGGCUCGUUUAUUUUUCAUAAAAUUUUGACAAAAUGUUUUAAUUGAUCCUUUGACAAAAAUAUAUUUUUUUUAAAAUUUGAACCAACAUGACCAACCACUUUAUAAGAAAGAUUUCAUUUGUAAUAUAACAGUUUGACAAACACUGAUUUUGAUCAUCGAGAAGCUUAAUAUUUCCUAAACAAUACAAUGUGAUUAAAACGUUUAGCUGAUUUUUACAGAGUUAUCUCCCUGUAGUGUUAGGUACCACCUUAAGGUAACAAGACAUUUGUACAUUUAUUUUAGUUGAAUUUAUUAUACAUUUUUAGAAUGAUAUUUUCAAUAGUCUAUUUGCCCAUUACCAAUUUGAUUAUGUUAUUCAGUUAUUACACACCUUUAACACAAGUUGUUCCCCUUUGUUUAUCAUAGACUGCUUCUAUACCGGAUAAAAUGGUCUACUGCAAUUGGUCAUUUCAGAAUCUAGAGCAUCAUGGGUAAUUUCAUUAUUCUUACCCCAAAAUGAAAAUAACUUCACGUCAUUGGUUAAAUUUCCAUUGUUUAUGACAUUUUUAACCAAUCGGGACGUUUUGGUGUACACUUUUGAAAAUAUUACCAAGGAUGCAUUAGUUUCUGAAACGGCAAAUUGGAAAGCAUGAUACAUUGAAUGGGAUAAAACUGUUGAUAUCGAAAGUGUUUAGCUUGAUGAUGAUUGAUUACAUGUUAUUGAUAAAAUUGAGAAUGGAAAUGGGGAAUGUGUCAAUGAGACAACAACCCGAGCAGAAAAAAAAAACAACUGCAGAAAACAGUCCCAUGUCCAACAAUUAACCCUAAACACAAAUGUGUACUUUUUCAGUUGGAAAGGAAGAAAUGUGUUCUAUUUCAGUUGCAAAUGAAGUCACACUAAACAUACUUAACUCAGAAACAUGUAAAUGAAAUGAAUUUAAAAAUCAUACAAGAUUAACAAAGGCAUCAAUAAAUUUGCCUUUUCUGUAAGCUUUAAAAUAGAAGCAUUUUCCCUGCUAAGGAAAACAUCUUGUAGAAAUCUAAGUAUAAGCAAAUAGACUAUUAUGUAAGGUUAUUUACCAUGGUUUGUUUCUCACGUUUCUAAGACGGGUUUAAAAUGGAGAAAUGUUAUUCUAAAUAUAUGUUUUCAGUAGAAAUAUAUAUAUCAUUAUUCAAAUAAAAUGAUGUGAAUAUUUUUUUAAUAAAAUACACAAGAUGCCAAAAUUCUCUUCCAACAUGUGCAAUGUCAGUUUUUUUUCCCAAAUCGGUGUUUUAGAAAUGUAUUUUUAUUUCUGCAGUUUUAAUGUGUCUGUUUUAUUUAAUCAUGUUAAUGAAGGAAACAUUUCUUUUUUGGUUUGUCGUCAUUGGC
This 1764-nucleotide long non-coding RNA is filed under the name Mytilus galloprovincialis (Mediterranean mussel). Lineage: Eukaryota; Metazoa; Mollusca; Bivalvia; Mytilida; Mytilidae. The record is from RNAcentral.